UACGAAGGGGGCUAGCGUUGUUCGGAAUCACUGGGCGUAAAGCGCACGCAGGCGGAUUGAUAAGUCAGGGGUGAAAUCCCGGAGCUCAACUUCGGAAUUGCCUUUGAUACUGUCUAUCUUCGAGUUCGGGAGAGGUUGGCGGAAUUCCUAGUGUAGAGGUGAAAUUCGUAGAUAUUAGGAAGAACACCAGUGGCGAAGGCGGCCAACUGGCCCGAUAC
Molecule: ribosomal RNA, 218 nt
Filed under: uncultured bacterium
Lineage: Bacteria
Description: partial 16S ribosomal RNA
Rfam family: Bacterial small subunit ribosomal RNA
Source: RNAcentral